RNAcentral lists this non-coding RNA (31 nucleotides) under Mus musculus (house mouse). The record is from RNAcentral. Lineage: Eukaryota; Metazoa; Chordata; Mammalia; Rodentia; Muridae.
UUCAAUGUCACAGAGAAAUCAACAGGUGCUU